GAUGAACGCUGGCGGCGUGCCUAAUACAUGCAAGUCGAGCGAACGGACGAGAAGCUUGCUUCUCUGGUGUUAGCGGCGGACGGGUGAGUAACACGUGGAUAACCUACCUAUAAGACUGGGAUAACUUCGGGAAACCGGAGCUAAUACCGGAUAAUAUUUUGAACCGCAUGGUUCAAAAGUGAAAGACGGUCUUGCUGUCACUUAUAGAUGGAUCCGCGCUGCAUUAGCUAGUUGGUAAGGUAACGGCUUACCAAGGCAACGAUGCAUAGCCGACCUGAGAGGGUGAUAGGCAACACAGGACCUGAGAAACGGUCCAGACUCCUACGGAGGCAGCAGUAGGGAAUAUUCCGCAAUGGGCGAAAGCCUGACGGAGCAACGCCGCGUGAGUGAUGAAGGUCUUCGGAUCGUAAAACUCUGUUAUUAGGGAAGAACAUAUGUGUAAGUAACUGUGCACAUCUUGACGGUACCUAAUCAGAAAGCCACGGCUAACUACGUG
This 496-nucleotide ribosomal RNA is filed under the name uncultured bacterium. RNAcentral's name for it is "partial 16S ribosomal RNA". It matches the Rfam family "Bacterial small subunit ribosomal RNA", at positions 28 to 507 of the family's 1533-position model. The record is from RNAcentral.